RNAcentral lists this long non-coding RNA (507 nucleotides) under Salmo salar (Atlantic salmon). Its description in RNAcentral is "lncRNA (ENSSSAG00000086569.1)". Lineage: Eukaryota; Metazoa; Chordata; Actinopteri; Salmoniformes; Salmonidae. The record is from RNAcentral.
GACAAACCAGGUGACUGCAGGUAGGGUAGACAGAGCAGGUGACUGCAGGUAGGGUGACAGAGCAGGUGACUGCAGGUAGGGUGGACAGAGCAGGUGUCUGCAGGUAGGGUUGACAGAGCAGGUGUCUGCAUGUAGGUAGACAGAGCAGGUGACUGCAGGUAGGGUAAACAGAACAGGUGACUGCAGGUAGGGUAGACAGAACAGGUGACUGCAGGUAGGGUAAACAGAGCAGGUGACUGCAGGUAGGGUAGACAGAGAAGAUUAAUACAGGUAGGGGAGACAGAGCAGGUAGGGUAGACAACACAGGUGUCUGCGGGUAGGGUAAACAGAGCAGGUAGGGUAACAGAGCAGGUAGGGUAGACAGAGAAGGUCGGGUAGACAGAGCAGGCAGGGUAGAAAGAGCAGGUAGGGUGGACAGAGCAGGUAGGGUACAGAGAAGGUAGGGUGGACAACACAGGUGACAGCAGGUAGUGUGGACAAAGCAGGUAGGGUAGACAAAGCAGGUAG